This 383-nucleotide unclassified non-coding RNA is filed under the name Hevea brasiliensis (rubber tree). The record is from RNAcentral. Lineage: Eukaryota; Viridiplantae; Streptophyta; Magnoliopsida; Malpighiales; Euphorbiaceae.
GCAACAAUACCCAUUGAUUUUCCAAGUCGUUUACCCAGCACACUGAACUCUGGCUCUGCACGCAGAGAAGAAUACUUCAGAGUGUCAACACAUGGGACAAGAGAUCUUACAUUGAGUUCCUCCAGCACAUACUCCUUUAAUUUUCCAGCUAUAUCAUCAAGGAAGUCUGCAUCAGGAUGAACUACUAUCAUCUCCCUCAGUGGUGAUUUCAGAGGUUUGUUGUGCCGCUCACGGAUAUUACGUGCAAGAUCAAUAACAGUCAUCAUCCUUGAAACACUUCUUUCAAUUCUUUCAUCCCUCUCUCCCUCUUCUUGAGGAAAACUACAGUAGUGAAUGCUUUCCUCUGCUCCAGUAGAAACUUUCCGCAUGUUCUGAUAUAGGAC